RNAcentral lists this ribosomal RNA (425 nucleotides) under uncultured bacterium. Its description in RNAcentral is "bacterial SSU rRNA". It matches the Rfam family "Bacterial small subunit ribosomal RNA", at positions 355 to 771 of the family's 1533-position model. The record is from RNAcentral.
UAGGGAAUUGUUCGCAAUGGGCGCAAGCCUGACGACGCAACGCCGCGUGGAGGAUGAAGACCUUCGGGUCGUAAACUCCUUUCGACCGAGAUGAAUACGUGCCGACCUAAUACGUCGGCACGCUGACAGUAUCGAGGGAAGAAGCCCCGGCUAACUCCGUGCCAGCAGCCGCGGUAAUACGGAGGGUGCAAGCGUUAUCCGGAAUCACUGGGUUUAAAGGGUGCGUAGGCGGCUUAAUCAGUCAGAGGUGAAAUCUUUCCGCUUAACGGGAAGCCUGCCCUUGAUACUGUUGAGCUUGAAUUAGGUUGAGGUUGGCGGAAUGUGGCAUGUAGCGGUGAAAUGCAUAGAUAUGCCAUAGAACACCGAUUGCGAAGGCAGCUAACUAGGCCUGAAUUGACGCUGAGGCACGAAAGCGUGGGGAGCGA